CUUGCCUGGGACUAGCAGGUCCACUUCCAAGAUGGCUCACUCACAUGUUUGACAAGCUAUUUCUGGUUGUUGGCAGGAGGCUUCAGUUCCUUGCCAUAUGGAUCUCACCACAGGGCUGCUUGAGUGUCCUCACAACAUGGCAGCUGGCAUCUCCCAGACUGAGUGAUCCUAGAGGGCAACUCAAAAGCCACUUUGACUUUUCUGACCUGAUAUGGUUUGGCUGUUUCCUCACCCAAAAUCUCAUAUUGGAUUGUAAUCCCCAUGAUCCUCACGUCAGAGGCUGGACCAGGUAGAGCCUUACUCAAGAGCAUGAAAAUCAGGAGGUGAGAAUCACUGGAGGACAUCUUGGAGAUUGGCUACCAUAGCCUGGAUUAAGAGAAGGAAAAAACCAGAAAGAUCAUAGGGACAAAUCUACACAAAAAUUAAUUGGUAUGGCUCAGGAUGGGUGGGGGUGAGUGGUUCAGGACCAAGGAUAUGAACAAUAUAAUGGAGACAGGUCAUACUCUGUGUGGCUAUGGUUGUGUGGUUAAAGGUAGGGAUAUAUGACAUGAGGUAUCUCUCUGUAUGGACAAAUUUUCUUUGGAAACUUGAAUUCUCAGUGUGAAAGACUAGACGAAUGUAGACAGCAUGGAUAGCAUUCAGCUUAAAUAUGCAGAUGGGGGAAAUGUAUAAAUGAAGCAAAUUCUUCAGAAUAAAGUUUAAAAGUUAACAAUUUGGUCAGCCAAAGAUACAAAAGACAAUGUAUUUCAGAUAAUGCCAACAACUAGACGAAGAGAUGAUGUCACAAAAUGGAAUCUGCAAUUCAAGUAGAAAUAAAAGAUGUUGUGGUAAUGAGAAAGUAAUAAAGACCUGGUUUGAUCUUCAAGGAGAACUACAAACCACUGCUCAAGGAAAUAAAAGAGGAUACAAACAAAUGGAAGAACAUUCCAUGCUCAUGGGUAGGAAGAAUCAAUAUCAUGAAAAUGGCCAUACUGCCCAAGGUAAUUUACAGAUUCAAUGCCAUCCCCAUUAAGCUACCAAUGCCUUUCUUCACAGAAUUGGAAAAAACUACCUUAAAGUUCAUAUGGCCCCAAAAAAGAGC
This 1081-nucleotide long non-coding RNA is filed under the name Homo sapiens (human). Its description in RNAcentral is "HSALNT0144400". The record is from RNAcentral. Lineage: Eukaryota; Metazoa; Chordata; Mammalia; Primates; Hominidae.